AGUCGAGCGAACGGACGAGAAGCUUGCUUCUCUGAUGUUAGCGGCGGACGGGUGAGUAACACGUGGAUAACCUACCUAUAAGACUGGGAUAACUUCGGGAAACCGGAGCUAACACCGGAUAAUAUUUUGAACCGCAUGGUUCAAAAGUGAAAGACGGUCUUGCUGUCACUUAUAGAUGGAUCCGCGCUGCAUUAGCUAGUUGGUAAGGUAACGGCUUACCAAGGCAACGAUGCAUAGCCGACCUGAGAGGGUGAUCGGCCACACUGGAACUGAGACACGGUCCAGACUCCUACGGGAGGCAGCAGUAGGGAAUCUUCCGCAAUGGGCGAAAGCCUGACGGAGCAACGCCGCGUGAGUGAUGAAGGUCUCCGGAUCGUAAAACUCUGUUAUUAGGGAAGAACAUAUGUGUAAGUAACUGUGCACAUCUUGACGGUACCUAAUCAGAAAGCCACGGCUAACUACGUGCCAGCAGCCGCGGUAAUACGUAGGUGGCAAGCGUUAUCCGGAAUUAUUGGGCGUAAAGCGCGCGUAGGCGGUUUUUUAAGUCUGAUGUGAAAGCCCACGGCUCAACCGUGGAGGGUCAUUGGAAACUGGAAAACUUGAGUGCAGAAGAGGAAAGUGGAAUUCCAUGUGUAGCGGUGAAAUGCGCAGAGAUAUGGAGGAACACCAGUGGCGAAGGCGACUUUCUGGUCUGUAACUGACGCUGAUGUGCGAA
This 715-nucleotide ribosomal RNA is filed under the name uncultured Staphylococcus sp. RNAcentral's name for it is "bacterial SSU rRNA". It matches the Rfam family "Bacterial small subunit ribosomal RNA", at positions 60 to 757 of the family's 1533-position model. The record is from RNAcentral. Lineage: Bacteria; Bacillati; Bacillota; Bacilli; Caryophanales; Staphylococcaceae.